Molecule: long non-coding RNA, 247 nt
Filed under: Capsicum annuum
Lineage: Eukaryota; Viridiplantae; Streptophyta; Magnoliopsida; Solanales; Solanaceae
Description: long non-coding RNA (CANN_LNC019393)
Source: RNAcentral
AGCAUCCUCAACAGUCACUAUUGAAGAGGGAUCAUCCACACAUUUUUUUAGUAUAGACACAUGGAAAAUAGAUGAAUCAAGGAAAAACUCAUUGGCGAAUCCAAGUUAUAAGUGACAUUCAAAAUUCUCCUCAUAAUCUAAUAUGGACCAACGUAAUGGGGACUGAGCUUCCCCUUCUUCCUAGAUCUCUUGACUUCUUUCAAAGGAGAAACCUUCAAGAAUACCCAAUCACUAACCUCAAACUCCA